GAUGAAGAACGCAGCGAAAUGCGAUACUUGGUGUGAAUUGCAGAAUCCCGUGAACCAUCGAGUCUUUGAACGCAAGUUGCGCCCGAAGCCAUUAGGCCGAGGGCACGCCUGCCUGGGUGUCACACGUCGUUGCCCCCCCAUCUACUCCUUCGGGAUUGCGGGGGGCGGAUGAUGGCCUCCCGUGCGCCUCGUCGCGCGGUUGGCAUAAAUGCCAAGUCCUCGGCGACGCACGCCACGACACUCGGUGGUUGCGAAACCUCGGUUGCCCGUCGUGUGCGGUCGUCGCGCAUCGAGGGCUCGAAAAAAUUGCCGGGCUCCGGCUCGGCUUUCAACGCGACCCCAGGUCAGGCGGGGUUACCCGCUGAAUUUAAGCAUAUCAAUAAGCGGAGGA
Molecule: unclassified non-coding RNA, 391 nt
Filed under: soil metagenome
Description: partial contains 5.8S ribosomal RNA, internal transcribed spacer 2, and large subunit ribosomal RNA
Rfam family: 5.8S ribosomal RNA (bases 1-122)
Source: RNAcentral